Molecule: long non-coding RNA, 522 nt
Filed under: Numida meleagris (helmeted guineafowl)
Lineage: Eukaryota; Metazoa; Chordata; Aves; Galliformes; Numididae
Description: lncRNA (ENSNMEG00000022091.1)
Source: RNAcentral
UAUGAUGCAAUAUGUCAUGUUGACCCUUUGGAGUCUAUGGCAUACUGAUCCAAAUUUAUUCCUGAAGGGACUGCAGUGCAGUAAAUGAGCUGUAGUCAGAUUGAGUUUAAUCUGCACAUUUCCACAGCUAAAAAGCUCCCUCAGAGUGAGCAGCAGUGGGAUCGGCAGAGGAUACAAGCGCAUGGCCAAACACUGUUGGUUCUCGUGUCAUGGACAGCGGAGCUGAGGGAGUUCAACUGAAGUGGUUGUGAAGACCUCAGUAGCUACAAUGAUACUGUUAAUUUUGAAUGAGGCCUGAGACAUUUUGAAGAAGCCCCUGGAAGGCACUAUUCCCUCUCCCUCCUCUGCCUGAGCUUGCUGGGUGAUCGGUGCACAUCUGUUCUGUGGGGAGACUGUGCUUGCAUCCCUCUUUGUCAUCACAUUUGCUACUGACCUGGCAGAGAGAAAUUGAAUAGGACAUCUUACCUGAUAAGCUCACCCACGUUGGUGCAGGAUUUUGCAGCUGAUCCCUUUGCAUUUUAC